Molecule: long non-coding RNA, 522 nt
Organism: Perca fluviatilis (European perch)
Lineage: Eukaryota; Metazoa; Chordata; Actinopteri; Perciformes; Percidae
Exons: 4
Source: RefSeq, a predicted model, not a curated record
AUGCCAUUCAACAUGAAGAUUUCUUCAUAACAAAAUGCCACCAGGCCUGCAGGAGUGGAAGCAGUGGUCACUUCCACUGUCCUUUCUGCCUCAAGACAACAAUAAAAAGGCAGGCUAUACAGAGGCAUUUGCCGAUCUGUAGGCCACCUCUCCAUGAUGCCCAGUUGGAUGCUGAUGCAGACUGCAGAGAGAUGGGCAUCAAUUCCCAGACAGAGGAGUGCAAAGCAGGAUCUGUGAACCUACCUCAUCUCAGCACUGACAAACUGCCUGUAUCGGUACAGUAUAGUGAAAUACAAGGACAAAGAGACCCAGCAGAGAGACCCCAAGACCCACCGCCAGAAUCCUUCUUGCCGUUCCUUCUUGCUAACCUGGACAAUCCUCCCUGCAGAGUGCGCCGUGCAAAGUUGCCAAAUGUACUUUGUCCUCACUGUAAUGUGCAGUUCCAACGAAAAAAUAUAGAGAAGCACAUUUACAGACAACACACAGAUAAAGCUGUCAGAGACAUCACUGCAAAUUCCCAUC